RNAcentral lists this ribosomal RNA (326 nucleotides) under gut metagenome. RNAcentral's name for it is "bacterial LSU rRNA". It matches the Rfam family "Bacterial large subunit ribosomal RNA", at positions 1832 to 2155 of the family's 2925-position model. The record is from RNAcentral.
CGAAAGGUGAAGUAUAUGGGCUGACGCCUGCCCGGUGCUGGAAGGUUAAGGGGAGAGGUUAGCGGUAACGCGAAGCUUUGAACUUAAGCCCCAGUAAACGGCGGCCGUAACUAUAACGGUCCUAAGGUAGCGAAAUUCCUUGUCGGGUAAGUUCCGACCCGCACGAAAGGCGUAAUGAUUUGGGCACUGUCUCGACAAUGCACCCGGUGAAAUUGAAAUACCAGUGAAGAUGCUGGUUACCUGCGCCAGGACGGAAAGACCCCAUGGAGCUUUACUCCAGCUUGAUACUGGGAUUCGGUAUUGCAUGUACAGGAUAGGUGGGAGAC